AUCAUUAGCAAAUUUAGCUUUUUUGUUUUGUUUUUUUUAUUUGUUUUUUUUUUUGUUAGGCAGUUCACAACAUUUGGAAAGGUACGGGAAUAUGUUUUGCGAGCAUUCAAGUUGAGUGAAAGUGUUUUUCUUUCUUCUUAGUAAGAGCACUUUGUCAGUUAAUAAGAGAAAAAUGAUUCCGUGUGCAGAAUAAGUUUUUUUUUUUUUUCCCCUGUUGUGCGGGUAUUGUUUGCAUUAUCUCCUAAAAGCGACUACACGCUCAUUUAUGUGUAUAUAUAUAUAUAUAUAUAUAUAUUCUCAUAUCCUUUCAUGCGACAUGUAAAAAUGACACUUGUACAACAGUGUCAAUUUAGUGUCACUUCAACAUACAGCUUUGAAUGUCGAAAUGAAAGGCAAGAAAAAGUAAAUAGACCCCUUAGCGAAACACUCGAAAUUGGGCCCAAUUAGCCAUUAUAGCUGCCCGGUGUCAUGUGACACCGUGUGUGUUUCAGGUGCAUUGAAUUGGGGUUGUCACACUCAUACUGGUCACUGGAAGUUCAGUAUGCCACCUCAUUAAAUGACUUCAAUUUAACUUUUUUGCUUGAAGUACAUUUCGGAGUGGAAUCAGUACUUUUUCUUGAACCGGAGUCUUUUUCUGUCACUUCUACUUAAGUGCAGAGCGUGACUCUCAUGUCACGUGUCAGGGUGAGGACACGUUUGUUUUGUCGAGCAAAACGGCAGCCCCGCUGUUCACGAUUGAGUCCGACGUGGAGAUUUACGGCCUGUCUCUCGAGGUCUCGUGUAUGGCUUCCAGAUAGGCGGAUAUGAUUACAUAUCUGCGAUAAAGUGCUUCGCAGAACGCUUGUCAAAGAAUGCAAUUUAGCAUUUUGGCGUUGACGGACAAGCCGAACCAACCGAGCCACCUUCUCGAAAAUGCCCCCGCCCCCCCCGCCUGCCGGCAGAAAAAAAUGGUUCAUUGUGAUGGCGGCAUGCGAGGCCUGCUUGUAGUUAGCGCCGCAUGUGAAACGCUUACCUUCCUCCAGGGGUUGCAGCUGGAGCUGGUUUCCUGUCUGGGGGGAGGGUUUCUUGUUUCUUGUUUCUUGUUUCUUGUUUCUUUGCCCUGCUCUGAUUGGGCCACGCUGAGCCUUGAUGGUUAAGAACGGCCAAACGGUGGUCGGUCCAUCAGCCGCGCGCACGUUUAAAACAAAAACCCCAUGCGGACGGGCGAUUAUGAUUGGCGCAAGGAGCCAAUGAGGCAGCUCGAUAAAAUCUCUGACAAGCUAUCUGAAACCCAAAAGUUUGGACAUUCACAAUUGGCAUCCAAUGUUAUUUUAAAGUAACGGCUGUGUUUGAGUCACUUCGAGUUCCAGUUUGAGCAUUGUUUGUUGUUUUUCUAUAAUUACGUGUAAUGGUCCCAUUACAGCAUAGCAGCAGUAGUGGUUGAAUUUAUAAUAGUACAUAAUGCCUGUUAUUACAGGAAUGAGGCAAUAGCUCCGUAUCAACUGCAAUUCAAAUACGCUACGUCGUCGGCGGUUUUUGGUUUUUGGAAACGAGUUGAUAUGAGGAUAUCACGAAGGCUUUCGUUAACGUAUGCUAGGUGAAGACUGUUCGAGUUUAGAUGAGUAACCCGUUUAUCGGCCCAGGCCUAAUCUGCAAUAUACAGAGACCCAUUUAAAACAAAAACAAUGGUUUUAAAAUGUUUACCCCGCGCAUACUUAAAACACAUUGAGACUUCUUAAAGCACACUUUUUACAGAGUGCAAUUGUAUUUGAACACCAAAACAAACAAACUGCAAGCACAGAAUGUAUAUUUAAUAUUGUACUGUCUGCGUGUCUUCAUUUAAGAGGCGGGACCUGUGAGUGUGUCUUGUUGCGAGCCGCAUUCAAGAAACGACUGCAUCAGUCAGCGACUGUCGCUGUCCUUCACCGCAUGCGAGGGCAUUACACUAAAUAAGUAAAAAGCUAUUCAAAACAAUCGGUCGAAGACUCAUUAAGUGGCAAACCCACUUUUAUAGAAUUCAAACCAAACACAUCCUUUUAGAAAUGAAUACAGGUACAAUACGUGAUCAUUCGGAGCGUUCGCCAUGGGCCCUUUUCUGUUCCAUUGUAACUUCCUGUUGUGGCCACACGUCCUAAUACUUUGGCCUUCCUGGUAUAUCAUCCGCAAAACCGGCGAACCGGCCCCGGUGUAAAAAGCAAACAUUGUCCGAAAGCCUGACUCGCGCUAUCCGAAGUAUCACGGUUAGCGCCACUGCCCGGCAGCACGCCUUCAACGUCUCGAAGUGCGUGUUGAUUUUUGCUUCUCUGCUUUUCGAGCUGGCUUCUCUCUACCCGAGGCCUCCAAUUUCCUGCCGCGGCGCCAUCACGCCAGGCCGCGCUGACAGCAGCUUUUAUAGAGCCGCCGAAGAGAGCCAGUGACGGCCCGUGCUCGAAAACAGAGGCCACGUAACAGACGGCGGAAUGAGGCUGUGCGUUGAUCAGACCGAAGCGACAAAUUGAGAGAGAUGUGGUCCUCCAUGUUUUAUAUCAAGACGGACCUUCUGUGUGCUCCAAUUCCAGAGUGAUGCAGAGUUUAUUCUAAUACUGUCAAUAGGGUUUGUUUUUGGGAAAACAAGAAGAAAAGCAACAACAAAUUGAACAAAGAGGAAGAGUCCAGUUGCCUCGAUUGAACCUUUGCUGAUGCCGUGACCGGGACGGCUGAGAAUCUGCACAUGUUCUUUGUUGUCGUCCCCAUGAAGUAUUAUUCUUUUCAUCCAAUAUUUUACGUUUAAUGUGUAUAAUAUCACAAUUCAUUCUGCCAAUUAUUUCCACAAUGUUUUUACAUUUUCAAAUUGUAUCUAAAUAGCUCACAUUAUUACGCUGUUCAUUUUGUCACAGAUUUGUCAUGACAUUUUUGUUUUCAUAAUUGUUAUUAUUGCAUUCUAUCAACGUAUUUUCAUUGCACAUUAUAGUUGCAGUAUUUGACAAAAAAAAGUCGAUUUAUUUUCGAUUUGACCAUUUCCGUCUUAUUACUGGAUCCAUUACUGGAUGAUAUUAAAUGAAAAGUGUAAGUUAUGAAUGUGCACGUGAACGUCCGCGUGUCCACAUGUGCCCCGACGAUUGGCCGGCGACCAGCCCAGGAGGGCGUACGGCCUUUCUCUCGCCCCAAAGUCAGCCGGGAUCGGCUCCAGCUUACUUGCCGCGCUAAUGAGGGCGAGCGCUAUCGAGCACGGAUGGAUGACAAUAAAUGGCUGUUUCAAAGUGAUGACAGGCUUCGGUAUGUCAGUGCGCGCAUGCUAGCAAGAACAAGAAUACGCCGUAACCUUUGUACAGCUUUGUGUCGAGGAGCACACGUUGCGUCCUUAUGAACUGGAACGGGGCGAUAUGUCAAAUGUGGAGCGCACAUGAAAUAUUUGGAGUAUUCAGGAAGUAACACUUUGGAGUGUUGGCUGAUGAAUGACGCUGGAAGGUUCCACGUACAGCUUCUCUUCCUGCUCUUUGUCACUCCACUGUCGCCAUUGGAAAAUCUUGAUGAACUGAACAGGCCGUGUUUGAAGUUGCAUUCUUAACUGUCGUUUAAGAAAGUGACUUUAAUGUUGCGGGGACGACUGUGCAAACGGAAGAUUGCCGUGCGUUUGCCUAAGUCUCUCGAGAUUUGCCGAAGUCUCACGUGACAGGUGCGGGCUAUGACGCUUUCGUGCAAUUCUACUUCAGGGCCUUGGGGGGGGGAAAAAAAAAAAAAGGUCCGAAUAAUGUUUUGAACCAAUGUAGCAUUUCAUAGUACUGCCCCCACCCCCGUUGUCUGACUCACUGGAAAUUCCCCCAUCGUCGGCGUCCAUCUUGGAGAGGGUCAGGCAGUCAGGGUUUGGCCUCCCUCCAUCGCUGAGUCUUUCCUCUUCGGCUCAUCUCAUUCCCGACGCCGGCUCCGAAUCCACCACUAACGUCCUUUAAGAGAUAACACACAUGAAACACUUUACCAUUUGAUCACGAUUGAAAAACAAGCUAGCGAGUCUUUCGCUUACAAAAAGAUGGUCCAUACCGACUGCGGCUGAGACUUCCCAACUUUUGUAAUGUGAAACAUUUCAACAUAACGCUCCACCUUUUUAAUCACAAUAGACAAGCGAGCUAGCCACCUCGUCCUUUGAAUCCAAAAAGUUGGCCAAUAGCGACGCCAGCGUAGCAAAGCAUUAAAACAUGACACACAUACACAAGUGACAAAACGUUACUUUGGAUUUGUAACAUUACUAUGUAUUUUUUGGAUGGUCAAUAUCAGCUUUUUUUUGGUUUUUGCUUUUUGCUUUGCUUCUUGUCUGUUUGAGUUUCACGUUGGCAGUGUUGAUCGGACGGCUUCAAGCCACACCCUUUUUGUCUUCCCAUUCCUAUGAGCUCAUCCUUGUCGUGCGAGCGCUCAGCCUUUUCGAAACAGUCUGGUGAUCUGCACUACGGCACACCGGACUCCGGCUCCGGCCGCACGCGUUUCGGACACAUUCAAGUUCUCGCCUCCCGAAAAUCCGAUCGCUGGCCUGAAAUGUUGGCACUGGCUGGGUGGCGUUUGUUCAGUGGCCCUACAAAGCCAACACGACGACAAUGAAUGAUGAGUCACCUCAGUGGCUUGACACGCCGUAUUUUGCACUGAAUGCGCAUUGUUUAGCCUAAAUUUAAGAGUAGUGUGGCCUUUAUGGUGAAAGGCUAUUGUUUACAUUUUGUGAAGCCUCCCUCCUCAAAAGAAAGUUACAUUGCUACUCUCUUAUUCUUGUAAAAAGAAAACCUGCUUUGUAAGAACAUCAAGUGUACGCGUAAAGUACCGUACUGCUCAGAAUUAGGAUGAAAUGCUUUAUGGUAAAUCUAAUCAAAUAUAUGACUAAGAUGCCAUAUUUUUGUUUAAUAUUUCUCUAUUUUUCAUCUGAUAUUGUAUUUUGGUCUAUUUAUCGUUGUUUUUAUUUAAUUAUUUGUGUCUAUCAUCCAAUAUUUAAAGUAUGUCUAACAAUUUUUAAUGGAAUAUUUUUCUUCCUAAUAUUUUUUUCUUCUUUUCUAAUGUGUGUAGCAGUGCAUAUUUUUCCUCCAGCAUCAUAG
Molecule: long non-coding RNA, 5030 nt
Organism: Phyllopteryx taeniolatus (common seadragon)
Lineage: Eukaryota; Metazoa; Chordata; Actinopteri; Syngnathiformes; Syngnathidae
Exons: 2
Source: RefSeq, a predicted model, not a curated record